Molecule: ribosomal RNA, 492 nt
Filed under: uncultured bacterium
Lineage: Bacteria
Description: partial 16S ribosomal RNA
Rfam family: Bacterial small subunit ribosomal RNA
Source: RNAcentral
AGUGAACGCUGGCGGUAGGCCUAACACAUGCAAGUCGAACGGCAGCACAGUAAGAGCUUGCUCUUACGGGUGGCGAGUGGCGGACGGGUGAGGAAUACAUCGGAAUCUACUUUUUCGGGGGGGAUAACGUAGGGAAACUUACGCUAAUACCGCAUACGACCUACGGGUGAAAGCAGGGGAUCUUCGGACCUUGCGCGAUUGAAUGAGCCGAUGUCGGAUUAGCUAGUUGGCGGGGUAAAGGCCCACCAAGGCGACGAUCCGUAGCUGGUCUGAGAGGAUGAUCAGCCACACUGGAACUGAGACACGGUCCAGACUCCUACGGGAGGCAGCAGUGGGGAAUAUUGGACAAUGGGCGCAAGCCUUAUCCAGCCAUACCGAGUGGGUGAAGAAGGCCUUCGGGUUGUAAAGCCCUUUUGUUGGGAAAGAAAAGCAGCAGGUUAAUACCCCGCUGUUCUGACGGUACCCAAAGAAUAAGCACCGGCUAACUUCGUG